RNAcentral lists this ribosomal RNA (253 nucleotides) under uncultured bacterium. Its description in RNAcentral is "partial 16S ribosomal RNA". It matches the Rfam family "Bacterial small subunit ribosomal RNA", at positions 57 to 305 of the family's 1533-position model. The record is from RNAcentral.
GCAAGUCGAACGCGAAAGUUUUUCUUCGGAGAAGCGAGUAGAGUGGCGCACGGGUGAGUAACGCGUAAGUAAUCUACCCUGGCAUCUGGGAUAACUCAGCGAAAGCUGUGCUAAUACCGGAUACGUUGAUUUAUCAAGAAAGGUGGCCUCUGAUUUAAGCUACCGUGCUGGGAGGAGCUUGCGUACCAUUAGCUAGUUGGUAGGUUAAAGGCCUACCAAGGCGACGAUGGUUAGCGGGUCUGAGAGGAUGAUC